UUAUACAACAGUCUGGGACACCAGACCAAAUCCCUGGCAGUGCUUAGAAGGUCCAUCCCAAUGUGCCUGGCCUGCAUUCAAGCCCUGCCUCACCACUCUCCACGUCUCACGAGAACUGCAAUGUGGUCCAUUGUGAGCACGGCCUACCGCGUGUCCUGGCUUGUAUGUGCCUCAUCGUAAUAAUUCUUCCCAAGGAGACUGACCAGAGUGAGGAAGCUGCCCCUCAGAGGGGUGAGAUAACCAGUCAAAUUGCAUCUGUUUGCUUCCUUUAGGGACAACUCCUUCAUCUGAGAUGGCCUUCCCUUCUCCAGGUCACAGUCCUUCAGAUAAGAGUCCAGGAGCCCCCAGGAUGCAAUCCUUUGCUCCUUUUCUAAAACACUCAACAAACAGCUUGCACCUGGAGGACCCUACCGAUGCCCGUUACCUGGGUCGCGGAGUCCCAGGCCCAAAGUACUAUUGUGUUGGACAGAGGAGAAAAACAUUUUAUAAAAUGGAUUUUUGCACGAAGAGACGAAGAGUAGGGAUACGUCGGUGUACCUCCAAAUCAGCAACAGAUAAAGGGGCCUGCUUCUUUGCUUUUUGAACCUGGUGCAAACUCUGCUUUAUCAGACAACACGUUUGCUUUGCUCCUUUUAUUUCCCCCUGGAGGCCGUCUCCCCAGGCCACAGAAUGGAGAGCAGCGGGCAAGCCGUAAGCCAUCGAACUCUUAGCAGCUGCCUGCUGAACCAUGAAGAAACUUAAAAUAGCGACGAUCCCCUUCCACGCUGCCGCCUCUUUCCCCGUAGAACCCGCGAGCCCAUCUGUGGUGUUUAUACUCAAGGCCCUGUGAAGCUAAUCUGUAUGGAAAUAAAGGAUAGAAAUAUU
This is a long non-coding RNA of Marmota monax (woodchuck), 864 nucleotides long. RefSeq lists it as uncharacterized. The record is from RefSeq and is a predicted model, not a curated record. The transcript has 2 exons. Lineage: Eukaryota; Metazoa; Chordata; Mammalia; Rodentia; Sciuridae.